AUUAUCAAUAGAUUAAGGAAUAGCCAUGACCACAAAGGUGGUUUUCCCUGGGUGAGGCUCAUCCAUGGCACUUCAGGUGGGCUGACCACUACAAUUUCCCCAAUUCAGGACACUCAACCCUAUAAUUUGUGGUUAAUGGUGUGUGUGUGUGUGUGUGUGUGUG
This is a small nuclear RNA of Onychomys torridus (southern grasshopper mouse), 163 nucleotides long. RefSeq annotates it as U1 spliceosomal RNA. The record is from RefSeq and is a predicted model, not a curated record. The transcript has a single exon. NCBI's taxonomy places the organism in Eukaryota, Metazoa, Chordata, Mammalia, Rodentia, Cricetidae.